GACAGAGGGUGCUAGCGUUGUUCGGAAUUACUGGGCGUAAAGGGCGCGUAGGCGGCCAACUAAGUCAGACGUGAAAUCCCUCGGCUUAACCGGGGAACUGCAUCUGAUACUGGAUGGCUUGAGUUCGGGAGAGGGAUGUGGAAUUCCAGGUGUAGCGGUGAAAUGCGUAGAUAUCUGGAGGAACACCGGUGGCGAAGGCGGCAUCCUGGACCGACACUGACGCUGAGGAGCGAAAGCCAGGGGAGCAAACAGG
RNAcentral lists this ribosomal RNA (253 nucleotides) under uncultured bacterium. RNAcentral's name for it is "partial 16S ribosomal RNA". It matches the Rfam family "Bacterial small subunit ribosomal RNA", at positions 524 to 776 of the family's 1533-position model. The record is from RNAcentral.